UACAGAGGUCUCAAGCGUUGUUCGGAUUUAUUGGGCGUAAAGCGCUCGCAGGUGGUUCGAUGCGUCGUGCGUGAAAGACCCCGGCUCAACUGGGGAGGGUCGUGCGAUACGGUCGAACUGGAGGCCAGUAGGGGGAUGCGGAAUUCCGGGUGUAGUGGUGGAAUGCGUAGAGAUCCGGAGGAACACCAGCGGCGAAGGCGGCAUCCUGGACUGGUCCUGACACUCAGGAGCGAAAGCGUGGGGAGCGAUCCGG
This 253-nucleotide ribosomal RNA is filed under the name uncultured bacterium. Its description in RNAcentral is "partial 16S ribosomal RNA". It matches the Rfam family "Bacterial small subunit ribosomal RNA", at positions 524 to 776 of the family's 1533-position model. The record is from RNAcentral.